This 2073-nucleotide long non-coding RNA is filed under the name Vitis vinifera (wine grape). RNAcentral's name for it is "long non-coding RNA (VVIN_LNC006374)". The record is from RNAcentral. Lineage: Eukaryota; Viridiplantae; Streptophyta; Magnoliopsida; Vitales; Vitaceae.
UCAUUCCACUCCCACUUCCCACCUCAUUCAACUCACUAUGGAGUGAACCAGCCAAUCAAGAAUUGCUGCAGAGAGAAUUCAUGGAAUCUUCGUCUCCUCUUCUCUUGUUGUUUCUGGGCAUCUUUUGCUUUUCUGAGUUCAUGUCCUGUGCUCAAUUGCCCACGGAAGCUGAAGGUGCCAGAAGCUCUGUAAUUCACUUUUCUUUUCAUUUCUGCCGAAAUGUAACUUGGGUUUUGUGUAGAAUCUGGUUUUGUUAGGGAAAUUUGAGGAAACGAAGAGUAAAUUUGAUGUUGGAAUUUGGGUUUUCCAAACUCUUUGCUUUGAUUUGUUUUCUUUCACAGCUUCAAGUUUAUGGACUGUUAUUCUUUUAAUCUUGUCCACGUUCUGGAAAUUCUUGAAGCAACAGAAAAGGAGGGGUGUCAGAUUUUGUUUUCAUUUCCUCUUCAUUUCUUCUGUUUUCUCUACAACCAAACAGUGGGUUGCAUUAGUCACUUCUGUGCUUAGUUAUACUGACUUUAAUCCAUGAAUAUUGUUUACUUUCUCAUUUGGGUGUCUGAAUAUUCAUGCAUCAAAAUUGAUCUUCAGACACCCUUAGUUUGGUUUGAGUCCAUUUUCUUGGAGGUUUCUGACGUAGCUAUUAUUUCCUGUUAUAUAAUUACAAUAUUUGUAUAAAAUUAUGUGAAUAAGUGCUCGGAUUGAGUCUUGAUGAAGAAAAUCAGAAAACUCCUUAGGGUUCUUAGACAAUCAAAGACAUCCAAAGGCACUUGGAAGUUUUUGGUCAGUAAAAGAACUAUAGCGUCAUAUAUCAAAAUUCCUUAGUUAAAUAUGAGAAUUCAGUUUUGCCCUCUCACAUUUUCCUUGAAUAGUUUUGUUAAGUAACAACAACUUGAUUUAUAUCGUUGCUGUCAAUUCAUAAAUUAACACAGUAUCAGAGCUUUGACUCUUGAAAGUGGGUCAAGGUGUUAAGUAUUAGCUUACUUAAUAUACAUCAUACAUUGAAAUAUGAUAUUAUUGAUUGCCUCAAAUAUUUAAGUGUUUCAUUUCUUCUUAGCAACUUUGAAUGAGGGCAAGGGGUGGAAUGUUUGUAGAAUUGCAACAGUUAAGGGUCCUUUUCUCGUAUGGGCAAGGGAUAAGAUCCCACAGACACAACCUCAGUGAAUGUUAUUUUCUAGACCAUUUUUGUAUUAUCUUUUGUAUGAGAUUUGGUUUAUAUGCAUGAUUCAUUGCAUGAAGGUCCUUUCCUGUGGAUCAGUUAGGUUGGGUGGUUAGGGUUAAUGGUUGGGCCAGAUCGGUGGGUUAUGGUAUUUGGUUGACUGGUUCCUUGGAUGACAUUGCAUUGUAAAACCAACUGAUGUUGAAAUGUCAAAGGUAAGAAAAAGAAUUAAUUAGUGAUAUGGAUAGUUCUUGACCUUAUGAUUAUAAAAUAAUCUAUAAUGUAGAUUAUUAAAUUUUCAAUAUACAAAAUUUAGAUUAAAUAGCCCUCUAAGACAAGGCAAUGCAAUGCAUGUGAAAUGAUUCAUGUUUUGGAAUAAAAAUACAUACAUUUUGAGGCAAACCAGGGUUCAAAGCAAGUCUUUACUCACUAGCUUUCAGUCCCUCACUUCUACUGAUGAGUCUUGCAGCAAAGUCCAUGCCUUACUCACAUAGUGUGAUCAGUUCAGAGAAGAGGUCAUAUACAAGUCAAUCUACUAUGGACUAAAUUAUUGGUUUUUUUGUAGAGGACUAGUUUUUCGCUUCAUCAUAUGUUACAUAUUUUUGUCGGAAACAAUAUGGUUAAACUAAAUGGAUAAAAUUCUUGCAGUUGUUCGAAGUAACCUGCCAUUUAUAACGACCUUCAAGUUCAAUGCAAAAUGUCUAUCAAGUCUUCUGUCCUGGUGAUGGGCCCCUCAUCCAAGAGAAUCAGAUCAUCCCUUUUCCUUGAUUUUGUUGUCCAUCUAACGCAAAAAUUAGACAUUGUCGAGUUUCUGAGGCAAGUUCAUGGAUAUACAAAAAAUUUUAACUCGCAGACAUUGUUGAUUUGCUCUUCUUGUGCCUCUUUCUAAUGAUGAUUUUGUGCACAUUGCUUGUUAGUAU